AGCGAACGCUGGCGGCAGGCCUAAUACAUGCAAGUCGAGCGCACCUUCGGGUGAGCGGCGGACGGGUGAGUAACGCGUGGGAAUGUGCCCUUUGGUACGGAACAACUGAGGGAAACUUCAGCUAAUACCGUAUGUGCCCCCUCCUUUAACCAGGAGGGCGGGAAAGAUUUAUUGCCAUUAGAGCAGCCCGCGUUGGAUUAGGUAGUUGGUGGGGUAAAGGCCUACCAAGCCUACGAUCCAUAGCUGGUCUGAGAGGAUGAUCAGCCACACUGGGACUGAGACACGGCCCAGACUCCUACGGGAGGCAGCAGUAGGG
RNAcentral lists this ribosomal RNA (316 nucleotides) under uncultured bacterium. RNAcentral's name for it is "bacterial SSU rRNA". It matches the Rfam family "Bacterial small subunit ribosomal RNA", at positions 29 to 359 of the family's 1533-position model. The record is from RNAcentral.